CAGUAGCCGCGGGAAUACGAAGGGUGCAAGCGUUAAUCGGAAUUACUGGGCGUAAAGCGUGCGUAGGCGGUGAGUUAAGUCUGCUGUGAAAUCCCCGGGCUCAACCUGGGAACUGCGCUUGUGACUGCACAGCUAGAGUAUGGCAGAGGGGGGUGGAAUUCCACGUGUAGCAGUGAAAUGCGUAGAGAUGUGGAGGAACACCGAUGGCGAAGGCAGCCCCCUGGGCCAAUACUGACGCUCAUGCACGAAAGCGUGGGGGGCAAACAGGAUUAGAUACCCCCGUAGUCCCUGUCUCUUAUAU
Molecule: ribosomal RNA, 301 nt
Filed under: uncultured bacterium
Lineage: Bacteria
Description: partial 16S ribosomal RNA
Rfam family: Bacterial small subunit ribosomal RNA
Source: RNAcentral